CUACUGGGGUAUCUAAUCCUGUUCGCUCCCCACGCUUUCGUGCCUCAGCGUCAGUUUCGGCUCAGCGAGCUGCCUACGCAAUCGGGGUUCUUGGUGGUAUCUAUGCAUUUCACCGCUACACCACCAGUUCCGCCCGCCUUAACCGAACUCAAGCCCUGCAGUAUCAACGGCAGUUCCAGGGUUGAGCCCUGGGAUUUCACCGCUGACUUACAGGGCCGCCUACGCACCCUUUAAACCCAAUAAAUCCGGACAACGCUUGCACCCUCCGUAUUACCGCGGCGGCUGGCAC
This 289-nucleotide ribosomal RNA is filed under the name uncultured Pontibacter sp. RNAcentral's name for it is "partial 16S ribosomal RNA". Lineage: Bacteria; Pseudomonadati; Bacteroidota; Cytophagia; Cytophagales; Hymenobacteraceae. The record is from RNAcentral.